UUGCCUCAGUAACGGCGAGUGAAGCGGCAACAGCUCAAAUUUGAAAUCUGGCCCAAGCCCGAGUUGUAAUUUGCAGAGGAUGUUUCGGGUGAAGCCACGGUCCAAGUCCCUUGGAACAGGACGUCAUAGAGGGUGAGAACCCCGUACCUGGCCGUCGGUGCCCCCCGCUGUGAAACUCCUUCGACGAGUCGAGUUGUUUGGGAAUGCAGCUCUAAAUUGGUGGUAAAUUCCAUCUAAAGCUAAAUACCGGCCAGAGACCGAUAGCGCACAAGUAGAGUGAUCGAAAGAUGAAAAGCACUUUGAAAAGAGAGUUAAAAAGUACGUGAAAUUGUUGAAAGGGAAGCGCUUGCGGCCAGACUUGCCCGCGGUUGCUCAGCCCGCCUUUUGGCGGGUGCACUCUUCCGCGGUCAGGCCAGCAUCGGUUUGGGCGGUCGGAUAAAGGCGCUGGGAACGUGGCCUCCCCUCGGGGAGGUGUUAUAGCCCGGCGCGCAAUGCGACCAGCCCGGACCGAGGUUCGCGCUUUGCUAGGAUGCUGGCGUAAUGGCCGUAAGCGGCCCG
This 558-nucleotide ribosomal RNA is filed under the name Venturia sp. 8Be61. RNAcentral describes it as "eukaryotic LSU rRNA". It matches the Rfam family "Eukaryotic large subunit ribosomal RNA", at positions 75 to 651 of the family's 3401-position model. Lineage: Eukaryota; Fungi; Ascomycota; Dothideomycetes; Venturiales; Venturiaceae. The record is from RNAcentral.